RNAcentral lists this ribosomal RNA (435 nucleotides) under uncultured Flavobacterium sp. RNAcentral describes it as "bacterial SSU rRNA". It matches the Rfam family "Bacterial small subunit ribosomal RNA", at positions 358 to 790 of the family's 1533-position model. Lineage: Bacteria; Pseudomonadati; Bacteroidota; Flavobacteriia; Flavobacteriales; Flavobacteriaceae. The record is from RNAcentral.
GGAAUAUUGGACAAUGGGCGCAAGCCUGAUCCAGCCAUGCCGCGUGCAGGAUGACGGUCCUAUGGAUUGUAAACUGCUUUUAUACAGGAAGAAACCCUGGUUCGUGAACCAGCUUGACGGUACUGUAAGAAUAAGGAUCGGCUAACUCCGUGCCAGCAGCCGCGGUAAUACGGAGGAUCCAAGCGUUAUCCGGAAUCAUUGGGUUUAAAGGGUCCGUAGGCGGUUUAGUAAGUCAGUGGUGAAAGCCCAUCGCUCAACGGUGGAACGGCCAUUGAUACUGCUAAACUUGAAUUAUUAGGAAGUAACUAGAAUAUGUAGUGUAGCGGUGAAAUGCUUAGAGAUUACAUGGAAUACCAAUUGCGAAGGCAGGUUACUACUAAUAUAUUGACGCUGAUGGACGAAAGCGUGGGUAGCGAACAGGAUUAGAUACCCUGG